UACGGGGGGGGCAAGCGUUGUUCGGAAUUAUUGGGCGUAAAGAGCUCGUAGGCGGCUUGUCACGUCGAUUGUGAAAGCCCGAGGCUUAACCUCGGGUCUGCAGUCGAUACGGGCUAGCUAGAGUGUGGUAGGGGAGAUCGGAAUUCCUGGUGUAGCGGUGAAAUGCGCAGAUAUCAGGAGGAACACCGAUGGCGAAGGCAGGUCUCUGGGCCGAUACUGACGCUGAGGAGCGAAAGCGUGGGGAGCGAACAGG
RNAcentral lists this ribosomal RNA (253 nucleotides) under uncultured bacterium. RNAcentral describes it as "partial 16S ribosomal RNA". It matches the Rfam family "Bacterial small subunit ribosomal RNA", at positions 524 to 776 of the family's 1533-position model. The record is from RNAcentral.